RNAcentral lists this ribosomal RNA (468 nucleotides) under uncultured bacterium. RNAcentral's name for it is "partial 16S ribosomal RNA". It matches the Rfam family "Bacterial small subunit ribosomal RNA", at positions 28 to 507 of the family's 1533-position model. The record is from RNAcentral.
GACGAACGCUGGCGGCGUGCUUAACACAUGCAAGUCGAACGGAAAGGCCCUGCUUUUGUGGCGUGCUCGAUUGGCGAACGGGUGAGUAACACGUGAGUAACCUGCCCUUGUCUUUGGGAUAACUUCAGGAAACUGGGGCUAAUACCGGAUAGGAGCUCCUGCUGCAUGGUGGGGGUUGGAAAGUUUCGGCGGUUGGGGAUGGACUCGCGGCGUAUCAGCUUGUUUGUGGGGUAGUGGCUUACCAAGGCUUGGACGGGUACCGGGCCUGAGAGGGUGACCGGCCGCACUGGCACCUAGGUGAGGCCGCAAUACGUACGGGAGGGAGCAGUGCGGAAGACUGACGGAUGGGCGGAGCGCGGGUGAAGCAGCGCCUCGUGCCGGAUAACGGUGUUAGGGGUGUAGAACAAAUGCGUCAGUGACGAAGCGCGUGUUGACGGUAUCGGUACAGAAGGCCCCGCCAAACAAGUU